RNAcentral lists this unclassified non-coding RNA (548 nucleotides) under Trichoderma sp. TAMA 228. RNAcentral's name for it is "partial contains 18S rRNA, ITS1, 5.8S rRNA, ITS2 and 28S RNA". The stretch from base 190 to 343 matches the Rfam family "5.8S ribosomal RNA". The record is from RNAcentral. Lineage: Eukaryota; Fungi; Ascomycota; Sordariomycetes; Hypocreales; Hypocreaceae.
CAUUACCGAGUUUACAACUCCCAAACCCAAUGUGAACGUUACCAAACUGUUGCCUCGGCGGGGUCACGCCCCGGGUGCGUCGCAGCCCCGGAACCAGGCGCCCGCCGGAGGAACCAACCAAACUCUUUCUGUAGUCCCCUCGCGGACGUUAUUUCUUACAGCUCUGAGCAAAAAUUCAAAAUGAAUCAAAACUUUCAACAACGGAUCUCUUGGUUCUGGCAUCGAUGAAGAACGCAGCGAAAUGCGAUAAGUAAUGUGAAUUGCAGAAUUCAGUGAAUCAUCGAAUCUUUGAACGCACAUUGCGCCCGCCAGUAUUCUGGCGGGCAUGCCUGUCCGAGCGUCAUUUCAACCCUCGAACCCCUCCGGGGGAUCGGCGUUGGGGAUCGGGACCCCUCACACGGGUGCCGGCCCCUAAAUACAGUGGCGGUCUCGCCGCAGCCUCUCCUGCGCAGUAGUUUGCACAACUCGCACCGGGAGCGCGGCGCGUCCACGUCCGUAAAACACCCAACUUUCUGAAAUGUUGACCUCGGAUCAGGUAGGAAUACCCG